This 55-nucleotide microRNA precursor is filed under the name Canis lupus familiaris (dog). RNAcentral's name for it is "miRNA (ENSCAFG00000057473.1)". The record is from RNAcentral. Lineage: Eukaryota; Metazoa; Chordata; Mammalia; Carnivora; Canidae.
UAAAACCUUCAGAAGGAAAGGAGAAUGUUUUGCGGACCAUUUGUCUUUGUGUGUG